ACGGGAGGCAGCAGUGAGGAAUAUUGGUCAAUGGGCGGAAGCCUGAACCAGCCAAGUCGCGUGAAGGAUGAAGGUAUUAUGUAUUGUAAACUUCUUUAGACGUAGAGAAAUAAGAGGCUCGUGAGCCUUGAUGCUAGUAUACGUAGAAUAAGGAUCGGCUAACUCCGUGCCAGCAGCCGCGGUAAUACGGAGGAUCCGAGCGUUAUCCGGAUUUAUUGGGUUUAAAGGGUGCGCAGGCGGUCUUUUAAGUCAGUGGUCAAAUCGUGGUGCUCAACGCCAUCCCGCCAUUGAUACUGGGAGACUUGAUUGCGGUUGAGGUAGGCGGAAUUCGUCGUGUAGCGGUGAAAUGCAUAGAUAUGACGAAGAACACCGAUUGCGUAGGCAGCUUACCAAGCCGUAAAUGACGCUCAUGCACGAAAGUGCGGGGAUCGAACAGGAUUAGAUACCCUGGUA
RNAcentral lists this ribosomal RNA (453 nucleotides) under uncultured Porphyromonadaceae bacterium. RNAcentral's name for it is "partial 16S ribosomal RNA". It matches the Rfam family "Bacterial small subunit ribosomal RNA", at positions 341 to 792 of the family's 1533-position model. The record is from RNAcentral. Lineage: Bacteria; Pseudomonadati; Bacteroidota; Bacteroidia; Bacteroidales; Porphyromonadaceae.